GGAAUAUUGGACAAUGGGCGAAAGCCUGAUCCAGCAAUGCCGCGUGAGUGAUGAAGGCCUUAGGGUUGUAAAGCUCUUUUACACGGGAUGAUAAUGACAGUACCGGGAGAAUAAGCCCCGGCUAACUCCGUGCCAGCAGCCGCGGUAAUACGGAGGGGGCUAGCGUUGUUCGGAAUUACUGGGCGUAAAGCGCACGUAGGCGGCUUUGUAAGUUAGAGGUGAAAGCCCGGAGCUCAACUCCGGAAUUGCCUUUAAGACUGCAUCGCUCGAAUCAUGGAGAGGUGAGUGGAAUUCCGAGUGUAGAGGUGAAAUUCGUAGAUAUUCGGAAGAACACCAGUGGCGAAGGCGGCAUCCUGGACCGACAUUGACGCUGAGGAGCGAAAGCUAGGGGAGCAAAC
RNAcentral lists this ribosomal RNA (398 nucleotides) under uncultured bacterium. RNAcentral describes it as "bacterial SSU rRNA". It matches the Rfam family "Bacterial small subunit ribosomal RNA", at positions 358 to 773 of the family's 1533-position model. The record is from RNAcentral.